RNAcentral lists this ribosomal RNA (497 nucleotides) under uncultured bacterium. RNAcentral describes it as "partial 16S ribosomal RNA". It matches the Rfam family "Bacterial small subunit ribosomal RNA", at positions 28 to 507 of the family's 1533-position model. The record is from RNAcentral.
GAGGAAAGAGGGGGGCGUGCCUAAUACAUGCAAGUCGAGCGAACGGACGAGAAGCUUGCUUCUCUGAUGUUAGCGGCGGACGGGUGAGUAACACGUGGAUAACCUACCUAUAAGACUGGGAUAACUUCGGGAAACCGGAGCUAAUACCGGAUAAUAUUUUGAACCGCAUGGUUCAAAAGUGAAAGACGGUCUUGCUGUCACUUAUAGAUGGAUCCGCGCUGCAUUAGCUAGUUGGUAAGGUAACGGCUUACCAAGGCAACGAUGCAUAGCCGACCUGAGAGGGUGAUCGGCCACACUGGAACUGAGACACGGUCCAGACUCCUACGGGAGGCAGCAGUAGGGAAUCUUCCGCAAUGGGCGAAAGCCUGACGGAGCAACGCCGCGUGAGUGAUGAAGGUCUUCGGAUCGUAAAACUCUGUUAUUAGGGAAGAACAUAUGUGUAAGUAACUGUGCACAUCUUGACGGUACCUAAUCAGAAAGCCACGGCUAACUACGUG